This 69-nucleotide transfer RNA is filed under the name Ictidomys tridecemlineatus (thirteen-lined ground squirrel). RNAcentral describes it as "Spermophilus tridecemlineatus (thirteen-lined ground squirrel) tRNA". It matches the Rfam family "tRNA". From Rfam's summary of the family: Transfer RNA (tRNA) molecules are approximately 80 nucleotides in length. Their secondary structure includes four short double-helical elements and three loops (D, anti-codon, and T loops). The record is from Rfam by way of RNAcentral. Lineage: Eukaryota; Metazoa; Chordata; Mammalia; Rodentia; Sciuridae.
GGGGUUGUGGCUCAGUGGUAGAGCACUUGCCUAGCACGUGUGAGGCGCUGGGUUCGAUCCUCAGCACCA